CAAGACUUCCCGAGCAGGACAUGUAACCCACAAAAUUUAGCGAGUAUCCAGGCUUUGCUUCUUGUGAGAUUUAACGAAGAUGAUGGUCUUAAAAUGGUUUUACCACAAGAAAGCUUCCCCUACAAGGAUUAUACCUGUUGUCCUCCCCCCCGAGGCCUCACACUGCCAGUCUGAGGAGUAAAAUGAUAGAUCCUGAGGGUUUACCACAGAUCAUGGGGAGACAAGACAGACCUGUCCUUUUGAGAAUGAACUCAUUAUCACGUGCUCACCUGAUGAAGGGUCUUGAGAUGGCGAGGACGGUCCGGAUGAACCACGUGGGCAUCUCUUCAGCCAGCUGAUGCCGGGCAUCUUCCUGCGAGGAGUUGCUCCGUUCAGGUACGGCCUGAUGACCUGCAUGUCGAUCCGCUGCUCCUGAUCGCCGAUGAUCACCGUUCGCCACAGACGCCCCGACGAGUCUCUCUCCUCCUCGCUGUCGCCUGGAAGACGUUUGGCGGUGGCCACCGGAGUGUCAUCUGGAUUCAGGGUGAUGUAAGAAAGUCGUUGGUCAGUUUGUUUGGCGUCCUGUCUGCUAAAAACCUCGUUGCCGUUGUUAAUGAACUCCAGCGAGUCUGUCUCAUCGGGGGUCUCGAUGUCGUCUACGUUGAUGUCCAGGUCGUCGGGCGUUUCCAGAAAAUCAUCAGAGAGCACCGACCCCUCGCUCUGAUCCAGGGACAGGUUCAUGUCGGGGGCCACCAGGGUGCGACGCUUGUGCUGGGCCACGGUCUCUCCCACGUUCAGAGUGACGGGGGGAUCUGAAAUCAACAGAGCAG
Non-coding RNA from Paralichthys olivaceus (Japanese flounder), 809 nucleotides. The record is from RefSeq and is a predicted model, not a curated record. NCBI's taxonomy places the organism in Eukaryota, Metazoa, Chordata, Actinopteri, Pleuronectiformes, Paralichthyidae.